UCCGGUUUAACACCGGCAGUCUUCCUAGAGUCCCCAACUUAAUGCUGGUAACUAAGAACAGGGGUUGCGCUCGUUGCCGGACUUAACCGAACAUUUCACAACACGAGCUGACGACAGCCAUGCAGCACCUGUCAUCCUGUGACCGAAGUCAAAACCGUAUCUCUACGGCGAUCAGGAGAUGUCAAGGCCAGGUAAGGUUUUUCGCGUUGCUUCGAAUUAAACCACAUACUCCACCGCUUGUGCGGGCCCCCGUCAAUUCCUUUGAGUUUUAGCCUUGCGACCGUACUCCCCAGGCGGGAUACUUAAUGUGUGAACUCCGGUACUCAGUGGGUUAAUCCACCGAACACCUAGUAUCCAUCGUUUACGGCGUGGACUAC
This 377-nucleotide unclassified non-coding RNA is filed under the name uncultured bacterium. RNAcentral's name for it is "contains 16S-23S intergenic spacer region". The record is from RNAcentral.